RNAcentral lists this ribosomal RNA (279 nucleotides) under Triticum aestivum (bread wheat). Its description in RNAcentral is "partial small subunit ribosomal RNA". Lineage: Eukaryota; Viridiplantae; Streptophyta; Magnoliopsida; Poales; Poaceae. The record is from RNAcentral.
AUGAUCAGUUGGGCUGCACAGAACAACCUGUUAUCGAGCUUGGGUCUCAAUACCAAUGUGCCGAGGGCCUCCUUUUUUGCAGACGACGCGGUUCUCUUUUUCAGAAACUGCCCUAGUGAUAUGGAGGUGAUUGCUGCCAUUCUGAAACUUUUCGGAGAGGCUUCCGGGCUUCGCAUCAACCUGCAAAAGAGCACGGUUACUUGCAUCAGAUGCGAUGAGUCCUCCUCGGCGGCUGUGGCUCAGUUCUUCGGCUGCCAAUCCAAACUAUCCCCGCUGUAG